Molecule: ribosomal RNA, 212 nt
Filed under: uncultured bacterium
Lineage: Bacteria
Description: partial 16S ribosomal RNA
Rfam family: Bacterial small subunit ribosomal RNA
Source: RNAcentral
UACGUAGGGGGCAAGCGUUGAUCGGAAUCACUGGGCUUACAGCGCGUGUAGGCGGGGCGGCAGGUCUUCUGUGAAAGCCCCCGGCUCAACCGGGGAACGUGCAGGGGAAACCGGCCGCUCUUGAGGCAGGUAGAGGUGACCGGAACGUGUGGUGGAGCGGUGAAAUGCGUAGAUAUCACACGGAACGCCGGUGGUGAAAACGGGUCACUGGG